UCUCCGGCAGCGACACAAAAUAGAAUAAGCUACUUGGGAACCUAAGGAAGCUAUGAGAAAGCAAUAACCAAACCUCUUUUCUGGUAAGAUUUUCGAGGACGAAAAUUUCUUUAGGGGUGCUUAGUGGUUAAGCAUGAGUAGUCAUCAUUGGAAAUUGAAUAAAUUAUUAAGGGUAAUUUUGGAAAUUAGUGAUUUAAGUUAUAGUAAAUAAAAUAAUCUAUUCUCAUUAUCAUCCACC
RNAcentral lists this long non-coding RNA (238 nucleotides) under Gossypium raimondii (Peruvian cotton). RNAcentral's name for it is "long non-coding RNA (GRAI_LNC003667)". The record is from RNAcentral. Lineage: Eukaryota; Viridiplantae; Streptophyta; Magnoliopsida; Malvales; Malvaceae.